AGAACGAACGCUGGCGGCGGGCUUAACACAUGCAAGUCGAACGGUUGUAGCAAUACAGCAGUGGCAGACGGGUGAGUAACACGUGAGAACCUUCCUAGGGGUACGGAACAACUCAGGGAAACUUGAGCUAAUACCGUAUACGUCCGUGAGGAGAAAGAUUUAUCGCCCCUAGACGGGCCCGCGUAGGAUUAGGUAGUUGGUGAGGUAACGGCUCACCAAGCCUACGAUCCUUAGCUGA
Molecule: ribosomal RNA, 238 nt
Filed under: uncultured soil bacterium
Lineage: Bacteria
Description: partial 16S ribosomal RNA
Rfam family: Bacterial small subunit ribosomal RNA
Source: RNAcentral